AGAGUUUGAUCCUGGCUCAGAUUGAACGCUGGCGGCAGGCCUAACACAUGCAAGUCGAGCGGCAGCACGGGUACUUGUACCUGGUGGCGAGCGGCGGACGGGUGAGUAAUGCCUAGGAAUCUGCCUGGUAGUGGGGGAUAACGCUCGGAAACGGACGCUAAUACCGCAUACGUCCUACGGGAGAAAGCAGGGGACCUUCGGGCCUUGCGCUAUCAGAUGAGCCUAGGUCGGAUUAGCUAGUUGGUGAGGUAAUGGCUCACCAAGGCGACGAUCCGUAACUGGUCUGAGAGGAUGAUCAGUCACACUGGAACUGAGACACGGUCCAGACUCCUACGGGAGGCAGCAGUGGGGAAUAUUGGACAAUGGGCGAAAGCCUGAUCCAGCCAUGCCGCGUGUGUGAAGAAGGUCUUCGGAUUGUAAAGCACUUUAAGUUGGGAGGAAGGGCAGUUACCUAAUACGUAUCUGUUUUGACGUUACCGACAGAAUAAGCACCGGCUAACUCUGUGCCAGCAGCCGCGGUAAUACAGAGGUGGCAAGCGUUGUUCGGAAUUACUGGGCUUAAAGGGCGCGUAGGCGGUGGAGUAAGUCUGAGGUGGAAGAUUAGGGCUUAACCCUAAAAUUGCCUUGGAAACUGCAUCACUUGAGUCAGCGAGGGGAUGGCGGAAUUCCAGGUGUAGCGGUGAAAUGCGUAGAUAUCUGGAGGAAGGCCGGUGGCGAAGGCGGCCAUCUGGCGCUGAACUGACGCUGAGGCGCGAAAGCGUGGGGAGCAAACAGGAUUAGAUACCCUGGUAGUCC
Molecule: ribosomal RNA, 795 nt
Filed under: uncultured bacterium
Lineage: Bacteria
Description: bacterial SSU rRNA
Rfam family: Bacterial small subunit ribosomal RNA
Source: RNAcentral